Molecule: long non-coding RNA, 227 nt
Organism: Chenopodium quinoa (quinoa)
Lineage: Eukaryota; Viridiplantae; Streptophyta; Magnoliopsida; Caryophyllales; Amaranthaceae
Exons: 2
Source: RefSeq, a predicted model, not a curated record
AAUUGCUUUAAAAUACUGCUAAAUUGCUUCAAAUGUAUACAUUUGCGAAGAAAUUCAACAAUCGCAACAACAUUCACAGAAAGAAACCGAAAAAUAUGUUUCAAAGUAGAGAGAUAAAGAGAAUGAUGAUUCAGAGAAGAAUCUUGUUCGUUGAACACAACAAGGCAGAUUCUGAAGAAACGUAAGUAUUAUUUAAAUAACCUAUUUAAACAAGAGUAGAAAAAUUA